Molecule: long non-coding RNA, 929 nt
Organism: Carassius auratus (goldfish)
Lineage: Eukaryota; Metazoa; Chordata; Actinopteri; Cypriniformes; Cyprinidae
Exons: 2
Source: RefSeq, a predicted model, not a curated record
GUCAGAUAAUUGAGGAAUGCCUCAUAUUGUGUACAUAUCCUUACUAUAUGUUUCUAUCCAUGUCAGAAUGUUUCUUUUCAUAACUGAGUCAGCGUGUAAUGGCAUAUUUAAUCUCUAUAAUAAAACAGAAAAACAAACUUUACCAACUGGCCAGUUUGCUUUUAAGUGUAAACAAAUACUUUAUAAUUUGACGUUGUUUUUGUUUAUUUAACAUUUGAUGCAUUUACAGUUCUGCUUAUGUUGUGACAGUUAUAUUGUGUCUAUAAUACAAUGUAUUUGUCUCUGUAUGAAGCAUAGCUAUUGUUCCAUAAAGUGCUAAGCAAACAGCUAUACCUGUUAAACAGACAUUGCCUGUUGUCUAUGUGGCAGUUAAAAGAGUUACUGUUGAAAAUGCAAAUUAUCUUUUUUCUUGCCUUUGGCAGUAGACUGGGUAGAAAUGUCUUUGUCUGUCAUGGCCAUGUUCUGCAGAAGCACUAGGCCUGUGCUCAGACAUAUAAAGGACAUUAUCUGAGCAGAUGUCACCUGCACUAGCUGUCUGGAGCUGUUCACAUUUGCCCUUCGAAGGAUUAGUUUCCAUGGCACCCUAAAGAAAACGUCACCCAGCACUAGAGAGUAGCGGCCAGUUUCACCUCACCAUCACCUCUGCAAAAUAAAUGAAUGACAUCAGGAACGACAAUAUUCACACAAGAUAUCCAAAUCCUGCCAGUAUGAGGAAACAAUAACACCGUUUCCUUUUGGAGUGAGGCGGAAGAAAACUUUCUGAUUUGCAAAGGACUGAUUUGCAAGUCAAAUCACUCUGACAGUUACACCUUGUUUUUGCAUUUGGAACUGUAUAUUGAAACACCCUUACAGACCAUCUUCUGAUGUAGCCUCUUAUUUUUUUCAUGUUUUGAAUGAAAUCUCAAUUGCUAAUAAAGGCUGCAUUUAUU